UACGAAGGGGGCUAGCGUUGCUCGGAAUCACUGGGCGUAAAGCGCACGUAGGCGGCUUUGUAAGUCAGGGGUGAAAUCCCGGGGCUCAACCUCGGAACUGCCUUUGAUACUGCAAAUCUCGAGUCCGAUAGAGGUGGGUGGAAUUCCUAGUGUAGAGGUGAAAUUCGUAGAUAUUAGGAAGAACACCGGUGGCGAAGGCGGCCCACUGGAUCGGUACUGACGCUGAGGUGCGAAAGCGUGGGGAGCAAACAGG
RNAcentral lists this ribosomal RNA (253 nucleotides) under uncultured bacterium. RNAcentral's name for it is "partial 16S ribosomal RNA". It matches the Rfam family "Bacterial small subunit ribosomal RNA", at positions 524 to 776 of the family's 1533-position model. The record is from RNAcentral.